Molecule: ribosomal RNA, 465 nt
Filed under: uncultured Glomus
Lineage: Eukaryota; Fungi; Glomeromycota; Glomeromycetes; Glomerales; Glomeraceae
Description: SSU rRNA
Rfam family: Eukaryotic small subunit ribosomal RNA
Source: RNAcentral
UUCCAGCUCCAAUAGCGUAUAUUAAAGUUGUUGCAGUUAAAAAGCUCGUAGUUGAAUUUCGGGACCAAUAUGUCGGUCGUACUUUGUACGUACUAGCAUUAUUGGUUUCUCCCUUCUGAAGAAUCGCGAUGUCAUUAAUUUGGUGUCGUGGGGAAUCAGGACUGUUACUUUGAAAAAAUUAGUGUUUAAAGCAGGCUCGCGCUUGAAUACAUUAGCAUGGAAUAAUGAAAUAGGACGUUUGAUUCUAUUUUGUUGGUUUCUAGGAUCGACGUAAUGAUUAAUAGGGAUAGUUGGGGGCAUUAGUAUUCAAUUGUCAGAGGUGAAAUUCUUGGAUUUAUUGAAGACUAACUACUGCGAAAGCAUUUGCCAAGGAUGUUUUCAUUAAUCAAGAACGAAAGUUAGGGGAUCAAAGAUGAUCAGAUACCGUCGUAGUCUUAACCAUAAACUAUGCCGACUAGGGAUCGG